Molecule: ribosomal RNA, 491 nt
Filed under: uncultured bacterium
Lineage: Bacteria
Description: partial 16S ribosomal RNA
Rfam family: Bacterial small subunit ribosomal RNA
Source: RNAcentral
GUGAACGCUGGCGGUAGGCCUAACACAUGCAAGUCGCACGGCAGCACAGUAAGAGCUUGCUCUUACGGGUGGCGAGUGGCGGACGGGUGAGGAAUACAUCGGAAUCUACUUUUUCGUGGGGGAUAACGUAGGGAAACUUACGCUAAUACCGCAUACGACCUACGGGUGAAAGCAGGGGAUCUUCGGACCUUGCGCGAUUGAAUGAGCCGAUGUCGGAUUAGCUAGUUGGCGGGGUAAAGGCCCACCAAGGCGACGAUCCGUAGCUGGUCUGAGAGGAUGAUCAGCCACACUGGAACUGAGACACGGUCCAGACUCCUACGGGAGGCAGCAGUGGGGAAUAUUGGACAAUGGGCGCAAGCCUGAUCCAGCCAUACUGCGUGGGUGAAGAAGGCCUUCGGGUUGUAAAGCCCUUUUGUUGGGAAAGAAAAGCAGCAGGUUAAUACCCCGCUGUUCUGACGGUACCCAAAGAAUAAGCACCGGCUAACUUCGUG